Molecule: ribosomal RNA, 254 nt
Filed under: uncultured bacterium
Lineage: Bacteria
Description: partial 16S ribosomal RNA
Rfam family: Bacterial small subunit ribosomal RNA
Source: RNAcentral
GACGAACCGUGCAAACGUUGUUCGGAAUCACUGGGCUUAAAGGGCGCGUAGGCGGGUCUCCCAGUCUGUGGUGAAAGCCCCCGGCUUAACCGGGGAAGUGCCGUGGAUACUGGAGACCUCGAGGAGGGUAGGGGCAUCUGGAACAGUAGGUGGAGCGGUGAAAUGCGUUGAUAUCUACUGGAACUCCGGUGGGGAAGGCGAGGUGCUGGACCCUUUCUGACGCUGAGGCGCGAAAGCCAGGGGAGCAAAGCGGG